Long non-coding RNA from Varroa destructor (honeybee mite), 582 nucleotides. RefSeq lists it as uncharacterized. Lineage: Eukaryota; Metazoa; Arthropoda; Arachnida; Mesostigmata; Varroidae. The record is from RefSeq and is a predicted model, not a curated record.
ACGAGUUGAGUGAGGUUUAGGAAAAUGUUGACUCAGUAGAACGUUCCGAUGGUGAAAGUGACCAGUUCUAAAUUCAUGAGCUGCUGCCGCUACUACAAACAAUUCUUCCAGUGUUUGGAUAAGUAAAGAGCGAAGAUCGCUCCACAACAACGAAAUCAAGCCAUUUCUACAGCCGUUGAUCAAAGUGAAUUACAUGCGACAAUAAUGAGCAGAUAAAAAGAAAUGCGCCCCAUAGUAUGUGGCAAAGCUCUAACUGAUGUCAAAGAAAGUGAUACUACCUGUAUAGUGGAAUUAGGGGGGAAUCGUGCAUCAUGAACCGCUAACGCCUAGAAAAACAAUUGGCCCCGACCUUCACCAUCUGCAACUAACAAGACUACAACAAGCCACUGAGAAAAAACGAUCGGAACUGACGGACAGGAACAAUGCCAGACCACAUGUAUCUUCCUGAGAAUUCAGAUGGAAGAUGUCAAUGAAUCCGCCAUCUAGCCCGCAUUUUGUGCCAUUAGACUGUGACCUGUUUCAGUCCCUAUAGAACUCCCUUAAUGAUGUUUAUUUGGUUUCAAUAGAGGCAUACAAAAAUCA